UCCAGUCACUCCUCACCAAAACAAAAGGGAAGUUUCCCCGUACUCAAUUUCAAUUCAUCAUUUUCAAUCAUAUCUAGUAAUCCGUUAGGAAUACUAGUUUUACUAGACGACAACAUAUCUAGUAAUCUAUAAGGAAUACUAGUCUUACUAAGACGGUCUAUAAGCAUGAAUUGAUUGAGUUAUGUUACUUGAUAAGUACUGAUACACUUGUGGAUUAAUGUAUCAGGUACCUUACUUGGAGACUCAUUGGAGAGGAUCAGGCCGCUCCUAGCCUUUCAAGAUGGCAUGAAGUCCGGUGAAAGGGGGAGACACUAAACCGGUUCUAUAAAAGAGUCCAAGAAGGUGUGGUGAAGUGUGCGCAAAACUUGAAGUGUUGCUGCACCUGUUUAGGCCGUGAUCUAGAGCUUCUUGUGUCCAACCACACUGGUUCUAAGGCACAAGAGUUCACUGGCCAAUCCCUAGGCCUUGUUGGCUCUACUCUUUUUCCCUCGUCAAGGUUUUGUCCCAAAGUGUUUUCCUUGGUGAAGUUUUUAAUGAGGGAGUUCUUCAAGGUUCCAAACUUGACUUAGGAUCGCCUAGAGUCAAGCUUGAGGGGGAGUGUUAACUUGAAGAAAGAAAUGGAGCCAAAGGAGGAGUUGAGUUGAGUUUGGGUCUUGUGCAAGAAUAGGGAAAGUCUUCCAGAGAUUGUCUGAUAGGCUUCAGGAGUGUUAUACAAGGGCUUCAGAGGAGUCUAAGAUACUAUGAAGCUGGUGCAAAGAUAGGGUCAAGUCCAGGAGGGACUUAGACACCAUUUGGAGAUAGUUGGGUGAUGGUGCGAAAAUAGGGCGAGGUACGUACAGGUGGUCCGUACCAUCGACCGUACUUAUUCCGGAUCAACCCGAAGUGAAGAAGUGAAAAGAUAGGGCGCCGGUUCAGAAAGAAGAGAGGCGACCUGAGGUGUAGCAGCUUGUGGACGUUUGUGGAUAAGGCCAGGCUGUCAUGAGCUGAAGUGAGCUGUAAAGUUAAAGGAGCAUGGACCAUGUAUCUGGUCUGAUACAUGGGAAGGUUCAUAGGAGCCUAUAAGCAGCCAAUCAGAAGCCAGCCCUUGCCUUGACCAGAUUUGAAUUAACCAAUCAGACACCAUCAUCUAUCAUCCAAUCACAAGACAUCACACAGAUUGCAAACUCACCCUCCAUCCUAGCCAUCCAUUCAUCUCAAAUUAUUUCUAUCCAUUAGAUUAAGAGUUUAUAUAAUUGCAAAGUGUAAAGCCUAUAUAAAGGUUAUGUAGUGGCGAUUUGUAACCCUAAGGGAGUAAGGGGGAUUUCCCCUCUCCACUUCAUGAAUGAAAAACUUGUUCUUGAAUCUGAAACCCUAAUCUCUAAUCUCUUAUUCUCCUAAUCUCUCAGUCUCUUAAUCUCUGUUCCUAAGUCUCUUAUUCUCUCAUAAACACUCUCAUCAAUCUCUCUUUCUAAAUCACCUAGAGCAAGCUCUCAUCUUUCUCCAUUGGAGUUUAUACACACACAUACAACCAGAGAAGAGAACUCUACAAA
RNAcentral lists this long non-coding RNA (1529 nucleotides) under Brassica napus (rape). RNAcentral describes it as "long non-coding RNA (BNAP_LNC026032)". Lineage: Eukaryota; Viridiplantae; Streptophyta; Magnoliopsida; Brassicales; Brassicaceae. The record is from RNAcentral.